AACCUGGAAGUGCGUGUCGCUGUGGAGGACAGGGGCGACAAGAUGGCGUCGCUCCCGGGACCAGGCCGUGACUUGACGGCCUCGCGUCAGAGCCUGGCUAAGGAGAUUCCCCGAGAGCCGCAAGCCUCCUCGCGUUGCGCCGCCCUCCGGAGACUGCCGGACGUGCGCUGCCUCGGGGGUGCCUGAGAAGGCCGCGAGGAUCCCGCUAAACCCGGGCGGCGACGGUCCUCAUCUGUUAUAUUUCUGUGCAAGCCGGUGCUGGAGAGGGGUGCACCAGACACAGGAGUGACCCAUCACGCAGAACUGCCGAGCACCCAGUCCGUGCAGACCCAAAGCUCUCGUCAGUCUCCGAGAAGAGGCAAACGGAAUUCUGUAGGAUUUUUUCCCUCUUAAAGAAUAUUUUUUUUAUUCGUUGACCGUUUCGUUCAUGUGUACAAUGUAAUGUGAUCAUAACACCUCAUUCUUAGUCUCAAGCACGGGCCCCUGUGACGUAAAUAAAACGUUGUUGGAGCCUUGA
Non-coding RNA from Myodes glareolus (Bank vole), 517 nucleotides. The record is from RefSeq and is a predicted model, not a curated record. Lineage: Eukaryota; Metazoa; Chordata; Mammalia; Rodentia; Cricetidae.